GAUGAACGCUGGCGGCGUGCCUAAUACAUGCAAGUCGAGCGAACAGACGAGGAGCUUGCUCCUUUGACGUUAGCGGCGGACGGGUGAGUAACACGUAGAUACCCUACCUAUAAGACUGGGAUAACUUCGGGAAACAGGUGCUAAUACCGGAUAAUAUAUUGAACCGCAGGGUUCAAUAGUGAAAGACGGUUUUGCUGUCACGUAUAGAUGGAUCCGCGACGCAUUAGCUAGUUGGUAAGGUAACGGCUUACCAAGGCAACGAUGAGUAGCCGACCUGCGAGAGUGCUGGGCCACACUGAAGAUGAGACACCGUCCAGACUCCUGCGGAAGGCAGCCGUGGGGAAUCUUCCGAAAAAGGCGAAAGCCGGAACAAGCCACAACGGCUGGUUGAAGAAGGUCGUCGCAUUGUAAAACACUAUUAUCAGGGAAAAACAAAUGAGGAUAAAAAUAUCGAAGUCUUGAAGGUACCCAAUGAGAAAGCGACGGGUAACUACGCG
Molecule: ribosomal RNA, 497 nt
Filed under: uncultured bacterium
Lineage: Bacteria
Description: partial 16S ribosomal RNA
Rfam family: Bacterial small subunit ribosomal RNA
Source: RNAcentral